Molecule: transfer RNA, 58 nt
Filed under: Ochromonas sp. CCMP1393
Lineage: Eukaryota; Chrysophyceae; Chromulinales; Chromulinaceae
Rfam family: tRNA
About the family: Transfer RNA (tRNA) molecules are approximately 80 nucleotides in length.
Source: RNAcentral
CGUCUAAUGGUUAGGACAUGGCCUUUUCACGGCUAAAAUAUGAGUUCAAUUCUCAUAG